AGUUUGAUCAUGGCUCAGAUUGAACGCUGGCGGCAUGCCUUACACAUGCAAGUCGAACGGCAGCGCGGACUUCGGUCUGGCGGCGAGUGGCGAACGGGUGAGUAAUACAUCGGAACGUACCCUGUUGUGGGGGAUAACUAGUCGAAAGAUUAGCUAAUACCGCAUACGACCUGAGGGUGAAAGUGGGGGACCGCAAGGCCUCACGCAGCAGGAGCGGCCGAUGUCUGAUUAGCUAGUUGGUGGGGUAAAGGCCCACCAAGGCGACGAUCAGUAGCUGGUCUGAGAGGACGAUCAGCCACACUGGGACUGAGACACGGCCCAGACUCCUACGGGAGGCAGCAGUGGGGAAUUUUGGACAAUGGGGGCAACCCUGAUCCAGCAAUGCCGCGUGUGUGAAGAAGGCCUUCGGGUUGUAAAGCACUUUUGUCCGGAAAGAAAUCGCGCUGGUUAAUACCUGGCGUGGAUGACGGUACCGGAAGAAUAAGCACCGGCUAACUACGUG
Molecule: ribosomal RNA, 502 nt
Filed under: uncultured bacterium
Lineage: Bacteria
Description: bacterial SSU rRNA
Rfam family: Bacterial small subunit ribosomal RNA
Source: RNAcentral